RNAcentral lists this long non-coding RNA (2059 nucleotides) under Medicago truncatula (barrel medic). RNAcentral's name for it is "lncRNA gene19886". Lineage: Eukaryota; Viridiplantae; Streptophyta; Magnoliopsida; Fabales; Fabaceae. The record is from RNAcentral.
CUUUGAUCUCUAACCUCACAAAACCUGUGUGUCCAAUCUUUAGGUUCAACAGCCUCAAAUCCUAACCCAGGUGUCCUAUCUUGCGAGUUUGGGUUCAUAGCUUGUCUCCAAUCCACAACAUAAGCAGACACUCUCCUUCUAAAUUUGCUCUUAAACUCAACCCACGCUUGGUACUUAUAGUGAUUCACCAAACCCUCUUCGGGACCAAGUUGUUUCGAUCUAAACCCUUGUUUCUCAUUCACUUGAAAAUGAUGUAUCACAUUCCACAAACUUCUAUCAACUGCUUCUACCAACACAAUUGAUUUGUGUCUUUGUUCCACUUUCCUCCGACACGUGUACCCCUGUGUUACCCCUUCUUUCGGGUGUUGUCGUUGACCUGAUGGCCCAAAUUCUAAACACAUCAUUGACACCUGUCCAAUUCUACCACCCUUGUCCUCCCGCGGUAAAAUUGAUUUCAACGAAGGUAAUUCAUUUGAAUUGAAGUGGAACCCAUUAUUUCUCCAAGAGGGUAAAUACAUGAAUUCAUCAACAUCCACAUACAUCAUCCAAGUGCAUAAUCCUUUGGAUUUUGAGUACAAAAUACUGUGUGAGAAUCCAGCUUCUUGAGUCUUAGGCCAAAUCCAAAGCAACGUGCUUAUAUUAUAACCCUCUUCACGAAGCUCCUUAAUUAUUCUCUCCAAAUCAUCAUCAUCGCUUCCAUUAUCAUACAAUAUGAAAUUUUCCACUCCCACUUUUGAAUGAUACACAACCCAUUCCCUCAAAAACUUCGCCACAUUAUAAACCAUCGUGCAUGCACAAAGGAAAUAUUUGGGCUGGGCCGGAGGCCCAAAGUUUUGAACUGCCACGGGCUUAGAAUUGGGUUUAUUGGGCCUGGGAGUGUAAUACGCUACGGACGGAACCACGAUGUUUUCUCCAAUAAUCUCGAGGGAAACUCCAAUUUCGGAAUUCGAACCCAAAUCAGACGGAUCUGGAUGCAAGCAUCGGAAAACCUCUUGAACAGAGCUUGUAACGGCGGUGCGAAUUCCGUCUCCUAUUUGGAAAACACAGUUAAGCUCCUUCGCCGGCCUGUCGUAGCCUUGACGAUGAUUAACACCUUUGGCAAACAAAACUACGUCGUCUUCCAUUGAAAAAGACUCGUAAACAACAAAAUUCCACCUCACAAGCUCCGCCGCCGGAGAAUGAUUUUGAAAUUCAUUUUCCGACGUUCCGGUUACCAACAUAGGUUGCGAAAAUAUUUUCCGGCGCCAAACCGUACCCGGCAUGUCGCACUUGAACGUUGUACGGUUGGUGAAAGGUAAAACACCAGAGAAUUUCGCCUGAGACAUUUGGUUGUUCCGGAAAAGGCAGUUAUAUUCAUCGGAAGAAGAUAAAGGCGUGUUUGGAGAAACGAGAACGAGAAUCUCCCAAUCUGGUAAUAAAACUGAAACCGUUGAGAACGAGUUUCUGAAGUUGAUGGAUGAAACACGACGUGAUUGGUGUGAAAACUCGUUGACGAUGUUGUUGUUUUUGUUUGCAUUGGUAUGAACGACAACGUGAUUUUUUGCGUUUAGCUUCCAUGGACGAUCGUCAAGGUCGUAAUCAGGUCUCCAACCAGAAACGGCAUCACGAGAGAGAUGAAGAGAAAAUGCAGCAAAUAAAAGAAUAGAAAGUAAUGAAAGAAGGAGGGUUGUUCGUGGUUUUCGUCGCAUGGUUUCCCAAGGACUACUAAUGAAUGUUGUUGUUGAAUUGUUAAUGGAAAUAUUGGAAUCUGAUGGUGAAGAAGGUUUCAUAUUCAUAUUUUCUAUAUGAGUGAAAAGUAGUGUUACAGAUAGAUAGAUAGAUAGAGAGGGGGAUGGUGUGAGGUGAAAUCAGCACUCGUUUUGAGUUUUAUUCAUAGAUAGGAAUGAAUUGGGAAUAUGAAAGAUAUAGACACUACUCACAUAAUAAUAAUAAUUGUAGAAUGUUUUAUGUUAUUAGGUAAUGAUUUGAUUGUGAUUGGUGAUGAGGAGGAUCUGUAUGUAAACCAACUUUUCUGAUUCCAUAAGCAAAGCUAAUAGCGAGGGAGCAACCUUUACGUGCU